UGCCCCAGGGCUGCCCGGUGAGUGCAGUCCAUUUCUUGCAGGCUGGUCCUAAGCAGCAGCCUCCUCCUGUCCCUUCUAAAAGCCAAGGUGGACUUGGCCACAUGACUGGUGAGUUUGGGGAAGACAGGGACAGGACAGCCCUUUGUUCCUCCUCUGACAGGCGGGCACUUCUGCUGCACUGGGGCUGCUGCUGCCUUUCCCGCAGGACAUGUCCAUCCCCAUCACUCUGGAGCAGGAGAGAGCUGAGCUCCCACGGCCCCUCAUUCCCAGACAAAGGCUCUCCUUUGCAUUCGGUGGGGGGGGGACACCGCUGAGAGGGUGCGGGAGCGCUCUCCUGGUGCUUCUCCUCCACGGCUCUUUGCUCUAUUUUCCUUGGCAGCAGGUGGGCCUCGCAGCUGGAGGAUCUAUCUGCCCUGGCCGUUUGCACGGCGAGGGACUUCGGCUGCUGCAGAGACACCUGGGCUGUCAGAGUCUGACCCUGCCGGGGCUCUCUUUGGCCGGCCCCUGGCAGAUGUCUGCAGCCAGGAUGGAACGCUGCCCCAGACCAUCCAGGUAACCAUCCUGGCCAGGGGUGCCCAUCCCUCUAGCUCCUCCAGAGAAGUGGUGUCCAAAGCGGAGGGACCCCAGGUAGAUGCUGGGGAUAAAGCCGGCUCCUUGCCAUGUCACCCACCCCUGCAUCCUGCCCCAACAAGAGCUGCAGAGCUGUCCACGCUUGCUCCUGCCCCUAAGGCAGCUUCACCUGCCCCAAGACCUGACUCCAGAGAAGCAACUCUCCUCCUCUCUGCCCUGCAGGACCUGCUCGCACACCUCCAUGAGCAUGGGCCAUCCACGCAGGGGAUCUUCCGCCUGGCGGCCAGCGAGCGUGCCUCCCGUGAGCUUCGGGAGGCACUCGACAGAGGAGAGGAGGUCCACCUCAAAAGCCAGCCUACACACCUGCUGGCCGUCAUCUUGAAGGUGAAGCCUGCUGACCUGGGGCCUUGCAGCUUCUGGCUCUGUUGGUGCCAAUGGGCACCUUUGAGAGCAGGAGCCAAAACCCAGCCGCCUGCUCCUGAGGCAGAGUGCCGGGGAUGCUGCCUGUGCUCCCAGCAGGAGUGUCCAAAGCCUCACCCGCAGCCCUUGGCAUUGCAGGACUUCCUCCGCAAGAUCCCCUCUAAGCUCCUCGAAGCUGAGCUCUAUGAGGAGUGGAUGAGCGCCAUGCAGAAGACCAGCAGGCAGGAGAAGUUGUCAGCACUGAAAGAGUAAGUGUGGCCAGCAGCCUGCCUGCUCCACAGGGACUGGCAGAGGCUGGGACGUGCCUGCAAAGCAACGGUCUCCUUGAAAAAGCUCUCUUCUCUGCCAGCCACUGCUGGCUGCUGUGGGGUUGGGUUUGCGGGGAAAGGGGCACAGAAAAGCAU
This 1394-nucleotide long non-coding RNA is filed under the name Calidris pygmaea (Spoon-billed sandpiper). Its description in RNAcentral is "lncRNA (ENSCPGG00000011999.1)". The record is from RNAcentral. Lineage: Eukaryota; Metazoa; Chordata; Aves; Charadriiformes; Scolopacidae.